RNAcentral lists this ribosomal RNA (504 nucleotides) under uncultured Glomus. RNAcentral's name for it is "SSU rRNA". It matches the Rfam family "Eukaryotic small subunit ribosomal RNA", at positions 569 to 1078 of the family's 1831-position model. The record is from RNAcentral. Lineage: Eukaryota; Fungi; Glomeromycota; Glomeromycetes; Glomerales; Glomeraceae.
AGCAGCCGCGGUAAUUCCAGCUCCAAUAGCGUAUAUUAAAGUUGUUGCAGUUAAAAAGCUCGUAGUUGAAUUUCGGGACCAUCAUGUCGGUCGUGCCUCGGUACGUACUGGUAUUGUUGGUUUCUCCCUUCUGACGAACCAUGAUGUCAUUUAUUUGGUGUUGUAGGGAAUCAGGACUGUUACUUUGAAAAAAUUAGAGUGUUUAAAGCAGGCUCACGCUUGAAUACAUUAGCAUGGAAUAAUGAAAUAGGACGUUUGAUUCUAUUUUGUUGGUUUCUAGGAUCGACGUAAUGAUUAAUAGGGAUAGUUGGGGGCAUUAGUAUUCAAUUGUCAGAGGUGAAAUUCUUGGAUUUAUUGAAGACUAACUACUGCGAAAGCAUUUGCCAAGGAUGUUUUCAUUAAUCAAGAACGAAAGUUAGGGGAUCGAAGACGAUCAGAUACCGUCGUAGUCUUAACCAUAAACUAUGCCGACUAGGGAUCGGAUGAUGUUAAUUUAAUGACUCA